RNAcentral lists this ribosomal RNA (497 nucleotides) under uncultured bacterium. Its description in RNAcentral is "partial 16S ribosomal RNA". It matches the Rfam family "Bacterial small subunit ribosomal RNA", at positions 28 to 507 of the family's 1533-position model. The record is from RNAcentral.
GAUGAACGCUGGCGGCGUGCCUAAUACAUGCAAGUCGAGCGAACAGACGAGGAGCUUGCUCCUCUGACGUUAGCGGCGGACGGGUGAGUAACACGUGGGUAACCUACCUAUAAGACUGGGAUAACUUCGGGAAACCGGAGCUAAUACCGGAUAAUAUUUCGAACCGCAUGGUUCGAUAGUGAAAGAUGGCUUUGCUAUCACUUAUAGAUGGACCUGCGCCGUAUUAGCUAGUUGGUAAGGUAACGGCUUACCAAGGCAACGAUACGUAGCCGACCUGAGAGGGUGAUCGGCCACACUGGAGCUGAGACACGGUCCAGACUCCUACGGGAGGCAGCAGUAGGGAAUCUUCCGCAAUGGGCGAAAGCCUGACGGAGCAACGCCGCGUGAGUGAUGAAGGUCUUCGGAUCGUAAAACUCUGUUAUUAGGGAAGAACAAACGUGUAAGUAACUAUGCACGUCUUGACGGUACCUAAUCAGAAAGCCACGGCUAACUACGUG